Molecule: ribosomal RNA, 540 nt
Filed under: uncultured bacterium
Lineage: Bacteria
Description: bacterial LSU rRNA
Rfam family: Bacterial large subunit ribosomal RNA
Source: RNAcentral
CGAGCUUAACCGAAUAGGGGAGCGCAGCGAAAGCGAGUCUGAACAGGGCGUUCAGUAGCUGGGCGUAGACCCGAACCGGAUGAUCUAUCCAUGGCCAGGAUGAAGGUGCGGUAACACGCACUGGAGGUCCGAACCCACUAGUGUUAGCAAAAACUAGGGGGAUGAGCUGUGGAUAGGGGUGAAAAGGCUAAACAAAUCCGGAGAUAGCUGGUUCUCCUCGAAAACUAUUUAGGUAGUGCCUCGUGUAUCACUCUCGGGGGUAGAGCACUGUAAUCUUGGGGGGGUCGUCUAGACCUACCCCGCGAUAGCAAAACUCCGAAUACCGAGAAGUGCAAGCACGGGAGACAGACAUCGGGUGCUAACGUCCGGUGUCAAGAGGGAAACAACCCAGACCGCCAGCUAAGGUCCCUAAUAUGUGCUAAGUGGUAAACGAAGUGGGAAGGCAUAGACAGCUAGGAAGUUGGCUUAGAAGCAGCCAUCCUUUAAAGAAAGCGUAAUAGCUCACUAGUCGAGUCGUCCUGCGCGGAAGAUGUAACGGGG